AUUGAACGCUGGCGGCAGGCCUAACACAUGCAAGUCGAGCGGAUGAAGAGAGCUUGCUCUCUGAUUCAGCGGCGGACGGGUGAGUAAUGCCUAGGAAUCUGCCUGGUAGUGGGGGACAACGUCUCGAAAGGGACGCUAAUACCGCAUACGUCCUACGGGAGAAAGCAGGGGACCUUCGGGCCUUGCGCUAUCAGAUGAGCCUAGGUCGGAUUAGCUAGUUGGUGAGGUAAUGGCUCACCAAGGCGACGAUCCGUAACUGGUCUGAGAGGAUGAUCAGUCACACUGGAACUGAGACACGGUCCAGACUCCUACGGGAGGCAGCAGUGGGGAAUAUUGGACAAUGGGCGAAAGCCUGAUCCAGCCAUGCCGCGUGUGUGAAGAAGGUCUUCGGAUUGUAAAGCACUUUAAGUUGGGAGGAAGGGCAGUAAAUUAAUACUUUGCUGUUUUGACGUUACCGACAGAAUAAGCACCGGCUAACUCUGUGC
RNAcentral lists this ribosomal RNA (485 nucleotides) under uncultured bacterium. RNAcentral describes it as "bacterial SSU rRNA". It matches the Rfam family "Bacterial small subunit ribosomal RNA", at positions 30 to 508 of the family's 1533-position model. The record is from RNAcentral.